RNAcentral lists this transfer RNA (64 nucleotides) under Cavia porcellus (domestic guinea pig). It matches the Rfam family "tRNA". Rfam says of the family: Transfer RNA (tRNA) molecules are approximately 80 nucleotides in length. Their secondary structure includes four short double-helical elements and three loops (D, anti-codon, and T loops). The record is from Rfam by way of RNAcentral. Lineage: Eukaryota; Metazoa; Chordata; Mammalia; Rodentia; Caviidae.
GGGGAUUUAGCUCAGUGGCAUAAGCACCUGCCUUGUAAGCAGGCAGCCUUGAGUUCAAUCCCUG